Long non-coding RNA from Alosa sapidissima (American shad), 586 nucleotides. RefSeq lists it as uncharacterized. The transcript has 2 exons. The record is from RefSeq and is a predicted model, not a curated record. NCBI's taxonomy places the organism in Eukaryota, Metazoa, Chordata, Actinopteri, Clupeiformes, Clupeidae.
GUGUUGCCCCCAGCAAUAUGGCGACCGCGGUUACAAUGCCACCUAAUAGAACUCGACGGACAAUGCGGUAUCUAGCUUUCUAAUAUCUAUGGCGCCACAGGCUCACAGUUUGGGCAAGUAGUACCACGUCUUGCAGCACUCCAGCAUUGUUAGAUUCGCUCACCUGUGCACUGGAUCUGUUUUGGUUUGUAAAGGACUGCUGGCAGGUAGCGGCUGCCAGCAGCAACAGUAGAGAUGCAGUCGUCAUGGUUACAGUGGAAGCUGAACUGCUCCUCUGAGUUCUCCAGAGUCUAAGAGCUUCUGAGGAACUGAAGCCACAAGCAGCUUUAUAUCAGGAGGAGGAACGCGGGAAGGGAAGACAACAGAGCUGGAGACACGUGCCAUUAAAGUCAUUAGUGUAGUAAUUGUUCAAAAAAUAUGACUACGCCAACUAACAAAGUAAAAUACUUUACAUGCCGACUAUCCCCUCUUUAGGCUCUCUUAAAUGAGCACCUCCUAUUGACUUUGGUUGUAUUUUAAAUGUUUGUUUGGUUGUAUUUUGAAUGUUAAUUGCAAAACACAACAUUAAAAUGUCCUGGUUGACAUA